AGUGAACGCUGGCGGCAGGCCUAAUACAUGCAAGUCGAACGGCAGCACAGCAGAGCUUGCUCUGUGGGUGGCGAGUGGCGGACGGGUGAGGAAUACGUGGGAAUCUGCCCAGUCGUGGGGGAUAACGUAGGGAAACUUACGCUAAUACCGCAUGCGCCCUUCGGGGAAAGCCGGGGACCUUCGGGCCUGGCGCGAUUGGAUGAGCCCACGUCGGAUUAGCUAGUUGGCGGGGUAAAGGCCCACCAAGGCGACGAUCCGUAGCUGGUCUGAGAGGAUGAUCAGCCACACUGGAACUGAGACACGGUCCAGACUCCUACGGGAGGCAGCAGUAGGGAAUAUUGGACAAUGGGCGCAAGCCUGAUCCAGCCAUGCCGCGUGAGUGAAGAAGGCCCUCGGGUUGUAAAGCUCUUUGUCCGGAAAGAAAAGACGCCGGGUUAAUACCCUGGUGUCCGUGACGGUACCGGAAGAAUAAGCACCGGCUAACUUCGUGCCAGCAGCC
RNAcentral lists this ribosomal RNA (499 nucleotides) under uncultured bacterium. RNAcentral's name for it is "bacterial SSU rRNA". It matches the Rfam family "Bacterial small subunit ribosomal RNA", at positions 29 to 516 of the family's 1533-position model. The record is from RNAcentral.